Molecule: ribosomal RNA, 497 nt
Filed under: uncultured bacterium
Lineage: Bacteria
Description: bacterial SSU rRNA
Rfam family: Bacterial small subunit ribosomal RNA
Source: RNAcentral
CUCAGGAUGAACGCUAGCUACAGGCUUAACACAUGCAAGUCGAGGGGAAACGACAUUGGAAGCUUGCUUCCGAUGGGCGUCGACCGGCGCACGGGUGAGUAACGCGUAUCCAACCUGCCCACCACUUGGGGAUAACCUUGCGAAAGUAAGACUAAUACCCGAUGAUAUCCCUAGAAGACAUCUGAAAGGGAUUAAAGAUUUAUCGGUGAUGGAUGGGGAUGCGUCUGAUUAGCUUGUUGGCGGGGUAACGGCCCACCAAGGCGACGAUCAGUAGGGGUUCUGAGAGGAAGGUCCCCCACAUUGGAACUGAGACACGGUCCAAACUCCUACGGGAGGCAGCAGUGAGGAAUAUUGGUCAAUGGACGCAAGUCUGAACCAGCCAAGUAGCGUGCAGGAUGACGGCCCUAUGGGUUGUAAACUGCUUUUAUGCGGGGAUAAAGUUAGGGAUGUAUCCCUUUUUGCAGGUACCGCAUGAAUAAGGACCGGCUAAUUCCGUG